GAUGAACGCUGGCGGCGUGCCUAAUACAUGCAAGUCGAGCGAACAGACGAGGAGCUUGCUCCUCUGACGUUAGCGGCGGACGGGUGAGUAACACGUGGAUAACCUACCUAUAAGACUGGGAUAGCUUCGGGAAACCGGAGCUAAUACCGGAUAAUAUAUUGAACCGCAUGGUUCAAUAGUGAAAGACGGUUUUGCUGUCACUUAUAGAUGGAUCCGCGCCGCAUUAGCUAGUUGGUAAGGUAACGGCUUACCAAGGCGACGAUGCGUAGCCGACCUGGGAGGGUGAUCGGCCACACUGGAACUGAGACACGGUCCAGACUCCUACGGGAGGCAGCAGUAGGGAAUCUUCCGCAAUGGGCGAAAGCCUGACGGAGCAACGCCGCGUGAGUGAUGAAGGUCUUCGGAUCGUAAAACUCUGUUAUUAGGGAAGAACAAAUGUGUAAGUAACUAUGCACGUCUUGACGGUACCUAAUCAGAAAGCCACGGCUAACUACGUG
Molecule: ribosomal RNA, 497 nt
Filed under: uncultured bacterium
Lineage: Bacteria
Description: partial 16S ribosomal RNA
Rfam family: Bacterial small subunit ribosomal RNA
Source: RNAcentral